UUUGGAGUCCGGGAAGUACCACAGGCCUCCACAGGCUUCACCCCCUUCGAACUGCUGUUUGGGAGACAGCCCAGGAGCCUUCUAGACGACAUCUAGAAGGCCACU
Sinocyclocheilus anshuiensis is the source of this 105-nucleotide long non-coding RNA. RefSeq lists it as uncharacterized. The record is from RefSeq and is a predicted model, not a curated record. The transcript has 3 exons. Lineage: Eukaryota; Metazoa; Chordata; Actinopteri; Cypriniformes; Cyprinidae.